AACUUGGCCGUCUCUCUGGAGAACGUGGCCAAAGUGUUGAAGACGAUAGCUCUUCCCCCAAGGGAACAGGAAUAGGUAAUCUCAAAAUCCCUCAAUUUGGUCGUAUCUCUGGAAAACCUAAUGUAAAUGUUGAAGGUGAUAGCUCUUCUCCUAAGGGAACAGGAAUAGGUAGUCUCAAAAUCCCUCAACUUGACCGUCUCUCUGGAAAACCUGAUGUAAAUGUUGAUGGUGAUAAAUCUUCCCCCAAGGGAACAGUAAUAGGUGGUCACAAAAUCCCUCAACUUGUCCGUCCCUCUGGAAAACCUGAUGUAAAUGUUGAAGGUGAUAGCUCUUCUCCCAAGGGAACUGCCAUGGGUGGUCUCCAAAUUGGGCAGCUCUUAGGAAAAGGAAGUCUAACUGUGCAAAGAUCUGCAUCUUCCCCUAAAGGAAAUGGAAAGGAAGGUUCCUUACUAGAAAAGGCUAUUAAUGCAGCUGGCGGAAUGAUGAAUAGUGUAGCAGGGAUAUUCUCUUCCCCCAAGGGAACUGGGGCAGGUAUUCUCCAAGCUGGCACGCUCUCAGGAAAAGGAAGUCUAACUGUGCAAGGAUCUGCAUCUUCCCCCAAAGGAAACGAAAAGGGAGGUUCCUUACUAGAACAGUCUAUUAAUGCAGCUGGCGGGAUGAUGAAUAGUGUAGCAGGCAUGCUGUCUCCCCGCAAGGGUACUGGAGCAGAUAGUCUCCAAGCCAGCCAGCCCUCGGGAAAAGGAAGUCUAAAUGUACAAAGAUCUGUAUCUUCACCUAAAGGAAACGGAAAGGGAGAUUCCUUACUAGAACAGUCUAUUAAUGCUGCUGGCGGGAUGAUGAAUGGUGUAGCAGGAACGUUCUCUCCCCACAAGAGUACUGGAGCGGGUAGUCUCCAAGCCGGCCAGAUCUCUGGAAAAGGAAGUCUAAAUGUACAAGGAUCUGUAUCUUCCCCGAAAGGAAAUGGAAGGGGAGGUUCCUUACUAGAAAAGUCUAUUAAUGUAGCUGGCGGAAUGAUGAAUAGUGUAGCAGGAAUGUUCUCUUCUGCAACAGGGGCAGGAAAGGGAAAUGGUUUGUUCCCUCAAUCCAGCUCUAGCUCAGGGACAAAUACGGGCAAAAUCUCAGGCAGUGUAUCUUCCCCGAGGGGCAGUCGACAAGGCAAGGCCUCAGGAGUCAAUCUCCCCCGUUUCUCACGUCGGAAGCUUCUUAGUUUGGAUCUAAAUCUCCAAAAUGAAGAAGCAGGCAUUUUGCCUGGUGCUUCCCUGAAUUCACCUGGGCUUCCUAAUGACCUUCUGGGCCCUGCAUCUUCUUCACCUGCGAGCGGCCAAGAAACUGCAAACCUCCCUCCUUCCGUCAUAGUCCGUGUCCAGAAGGGAAGCAAUAACCAAGCUCUCGAGCAGCUCAAAUCAGAAGGCGGCAAGAUCCAAUUCAUCCCACUGGGACCUCCAGAAUCCUCCGGCGAUGCUCUCCUGUACCGAUACACAGCCAAGGUGACCCAUGAAGAUGGAAGCCACACCAUCCUCAACAGCGCACCCCUCUCCCUUCCCCCAAAGCAAAGCUCCCCCAUGGACAUGACUCUGAGCCCCAGCAUCCUCGGCGCACUGAUGCCAGACAUCAAAGCCAGCAGUCUUUCCGCAAAAUUGUUCGGCAACAGCGUCCUGCCAGGAGAUCUACAUUCCCUGCUCCCUAAGGACCCGUCAGGAAACGAAAUGAAAGCCAUGAUAUCCCGAAUCAGGCGACCAACUGUUUACACCCCAGCUUUAGCGAUCGCGGUUCGAAUAUGCGUCACCUCGGAAGGAAAAUGCAUCGGCAACUUAGCUUCCAUGAACAUGGAAAUUCCCGUGAAAGUUAAUUUGGAAGUUUCCGGAGACAAGGUGUUCUUCAAGAUUUCUCAGCCCAGGACUGAAGACAUAUCCAUGUCCUCUCCAGUGGCUGGCAUUGAUCUGGACCAAUACAAAGCAUGGAGUGCUGCAAGCAUGGGAAAAGCCAUCGAUAUUAUAAAUGAAAUGUCUGAAGAGCAGGCGCUCACACUGCCGAUACUGCAACACAUGAAGAACCCGGUUGUGCACGUUUCCCCAGUAAGAGACCUCCUGGAGCAGCCAAAGCUCCCAUGCAAGAUGCUGGAACUGCAAAAUUGUGCUAAAAAUAACUAUUAA
This is a long non-coding RNA of Anolis carolinensis (green anole), 2153 nucleotides long. The record is from Ensembl. Lineage: Eukaryota; Metazoa; Chordata; Lepidosauria; Squamata; Anolidae.